UGUUGGGUUCCUGGGAGCCAUACUGUCAGCUUCAGGAGACUGUGUGCUUACCUGUGCCCUUAACCUUUGCUAAGCUACAGCCUCCUGCAACUCCAUUUCUAUCUGCAGCCGGGUUCUACCAAGUGUAUUCCCACAGAGCAGGUACGUCUUGGCUGAAGAUCCUUCAUUCCAUCCUGAGACCUGGGACUUCAAAGCACGUUGUCAUACAUCAGCCAUCUGGCAAAACAAGCAUGGCAAAGAGAUCUCUGGUCUCGCUGCAGGCACGAAUGCUGUUGUAACGACUCUUUCCAGGGUGAAUGUACCUUCUUCCCAAGUACAGUACGCUGCAGUAAAUAUGCUGAAAGCUGAUGGAAGUCCCAGCAACAGAGAAGUCACGGUGACCAAGUUGCUAGAUAUGUAGCUCUAGCACUUCUGCCACGUACCAAUAAAACAAACCAACAUGCUUCUGCAAAUUCAUAAGGAUGAUAACUACAGCUGAUUAUCUGACAGAGUAGAGCUCCCUAGUGUGGGAAAUGACAUGCUAUAUUAAUGAAAAUUGGAUGUCAUAAUAUGUCUUUCUGGAUCCAGUCUGCUUAUGUCUGAAACUGACAGGAACUCUUACACUGAUUUAAAUGACUGAAACCCUGGAACUCAUAGAAAACCUCAAGGACCAUGCACCCCACCUCAGUUGUCAGAAUCCUCUGGGAGAUACAACUGGAAAUGGAUGGAGUGAAUAGCAUGAGAAGGAAAGUAAGACAUCUUCAGGAGGUUAUGGUCAAUCAUCUCAUUAUUUGUAUAAUACAGUGUGUGAAAAAAAUAAAACCAAACAAAAACAAAAAAUAAAAACCUGUAUCUCAGGGGUAGUCCACGAGCUCAGUAGAAAACCAUCAUUCCAGGUUUGGAUUAGUAGUAACAGAGAGAAAAAGUUCUACAGGAGGCAAGUAAAUCCUAUUUUCUGCCCUAUUUUGUUUAACUUUUGGAAAAGAGAGCAGUAGUAAUCAUGGAGGAAUUACAAGAACUAGAAGUAGUCUGAUCUAGUGGGGUAGAAACAGCUGCCAGCAAAACUGAAGGAAGCUUUGCUCUGACAUACCCAGAACUCCACAUUAACCAGUCAAGGUAACUUAAGAUCUGGAUCGACUCCCAGAUAUGAGUUGCUAAACUACCUCUUACAUCACUAAUGCCUUUUUAUUUUUUUUUUUUCUUGAAUCAAUACCAAGAGCAGAGAAAUUUGAGGGAAGCACUAGCACAGUAGCAAUGCACUGUCAAGCCGGUGGUGCUAUGUAGCACAACAGCACUGCAGACAGCUGUGGUUCUGGAACAGUGAGACGAGUACAUAAUUUAAAAAUGACCAAUUUCAAGGGGUGUGACAGUUACACUCUAAGUUUGUUCUGGUUCUCAAGCUAUUACUGUAGUGUCCACUUUAACUAUGGAAAUUUCAUUUCUAAGUUAAGAAAUUACCUUUAGUGUGCACUCCCUGUGUUUAAAACAACUUGAAAUUACACAAUCUGCAUAUAGAUUUUAGACUGUCUGUAACUUGUCCUUCUAACUUUGUUCUUUACAAACAUUUCAAAUUACUGGUGCAGGGUGGGGUCCUUAGGAUGAAUUUGCCCUUUUUCAAAGUACUUCUAUACAAAACACCAACACAAAGUUUUAACACUUAACAGGUUUUGAAUUUGGGUUUUCUUACUGUUCUGUUUGUAACCCUGCUUUUGUUUUCAUUACCUUCAGAGACAUGUAUUUUUAAAAUAUAUUUUCCAGUGUGAAUUCAAUAUCUAACAUAUCCUUCUACAGGAGGAGCUGUAGACAGUGCAGCUCCUGCUGCAGAAACACACUGGGAGAAAGCAUACAAUGAAUAUGAUGAAUUGCACACAAAAUUAUGUCCCUUUGAUGACUUUGAAGUGUGUAAGAAAUACACUUCACAGAAAUAAAUCUAAGUGGGAGAAACGGCCCGUGGAAUGUCUCUACCCUACACACAGACACAUAUACACUACCAUGAAAAAGUCACUCAGAGAGCAUUGGUGCUGAGCACUAACUUACAUCAAUUAUCCAAGAUCCCCCAAAGAGCUGAGUCCUUAACUUGGGAGGUAUGUGACAAUCAGGAGUCUAGAAGACACUAGAUUUUGUCUCAGGGUGAACCCUUCUCUGGAUGUUGUUGUAUCCACCUUUCCAAGGGCAUGAUCCUCACAAAAUGCUUGGAAUGCCCUUCCCUUUGUACAGAUGAACUAGAACGAAGCAGCUUAAAUAUGACUCAUAGUUAUUAUUUAAGGAAUAGCACAAGGAGUCAUUCCUUGUGCUGGUGCUUGUGUAGUGUAUCUCAGGGCUGUAAAUCCACUACAACUGUACUGCUUAUUUUUCCCCUUCUUUACUAAUAGGCAGGGGAAGAAUUUGGACUUAAAGUGACAAGCAAAUUUGAAGAAAGCUGUAUAAUAACUGCAUGACUAUCAUAUUUUGAUUUUUCAAAUAAAAAAUGAGUUGAACCACCUUUCAUUUAGAGGACAAUGCUAUAAAACCAAGCACUGUAUGUCUUCACUAGUGACAGGGACCUAAAUGGUAAAGCAUUAAACAGUAUGUGAAAUCCAAGCCUUAUCAAAAUCAGUACCUUUCUCCCAUUGACUCUGAAGGAAGGAGGAUUUCAUUCCAGAAAUUAAAACUGUCAGUCAAGCAAUCUGAUUACAUGAGGAAAAGUAAACUAGAGGCAAUGAUUUCAUAAUGCUGAAUCUAGGCUGUUUAUAAAAAUUGCUUGAAAAAUUAUGUUAUGCUAUCUUUUCUAUAACAGCUUGCAAAUAAACAUCUAUUUUCUGAGGCUCAUGGUGAGAUUUGAAUUACAGUAGUUCAUGCUGAGCUUCACUUUGUUCCAGGAGUGGCACACAUGAUGCCUGUUUUUCCAGUGUUGUGAGGGUAUCUGAAUCUGGUCCUGUGAAAUCUCAGUUCAAAGCAAAUCCAGAUGGAUUAAAUCAAGAGUACUAUUAAAAUGUAGAGUGACUGGGGAAAAAUGAAGAGGGAAGAAAGAAGUUUGGAUUAUAAGACCGAAACAAAAGGUAUAUAUGGACAUAUAAAACAGUAAAAGACAAUUAGAAAAUAUAUUUAUACUAAAUUAAAACUUUAUUGACUAAUGUUCUCCAGACAACAUGAUCUGACGGACUAUGGUUGCAUACAUGCAAUGAAGUUGAACACAACAGUAGUUUAACAUGGAAUGUCAAACAAAUUAAUAUAAUGUAUUACAUGAAAACAUUUAUCGUGUUGCUGCAAAAUGAAACCAAGCUAUGUAUUUCCUUGGUCAAUCGGUGACUUCAGCUAAGAGGCUUUGCAUUUGAAGAAACUGGUAGAUUUCUUUAGCAUAUAUUUCAAAUAAAUUAGCUAGAAUUGUACUCUUUAAAAAUCUUUUCAACUUCACUUGCAUUUCAAACAAAAUCUCAGUGUAAACACUAAAGUUGCUAGAGCCAUCUAGAAAGACCUGUCAAACUCAGAGUGGACAUUACAGUUCAGUAAAUGUGACUAUUUAGAACAAGAAAAAUACCAGUUACUGCAAAAGUCAUGUAGGCAUAUCUUAUUAUUAAUCCAGCACAAAGCAUUUCUUCUAAGUUUCUCACAUAAAAGACUAAAGCUUGCUUACAGUACUACAUCUUCUAUCAUUCAAGCAUCAUUAUUACCUAUCAGGGAGAUUGGCUAGAUGACCUAAUGGGUCUUUUCCACCCCUACCUUCUACAAAAGAAAAUCAUUCAUGCCAGCAAGAACAUGGUUCGCUACAUCUUGGGCGUGAUCCUGUAGCCUUCGUUCAGGCAAAACUCUCACUGACAUAAAGGAGAGAUUUUCCAGAGCAAGACAUCCAGGAUUAAGCCCUUUUUAUUCUUUUAUUUUUAAAAAAAGCAUCCAUUUAGGAUACAUGGAAAAUAUAGAAUUAAAAAAAAUAUGACAUGUGCUUCACUUGCAUUGAAGGAAUCAGAGAAUGUAAACACCAUAGUGGCCCACAUUUUCACAAAAUCCAUGAGAAAGUGUCAGCUGCAAGUAAUCAGUGUGCAUUUAUUUCUCAACGUAUGCCUCCGAGAGUGUUUUGUAUAUACCUUUACCUCUACCUCCACACACAAAUGUACACCCUUAAUACACAUAAAGGUGUGACAAAAUUCACUAAAGGCAGUUGCUUGCCCAUCUUAAUGCUUAAAUCUGCUAAUGGCAGCAAACUGGGAUUUAUGUGACGCUAAUUAGACUGUACGUGAGCAGCAGGACACAAAUAUCUCUGUGGGCAAGAGAGUGUGGUUGCCGGUUCUACAAGUGUGAAGUCAUCCCACCUACGCACAUCACAAAAUCUACCUGCAUGAAGGGCUGGAAAAGCAGGUGACCAAAGUAUUUCUUGGUGGGCCAUGUCUGAAAUAUCAGCUGAAUGAUUCAAAGGCUGUAGAUUGUCCUCACAGGAGCCUUUCAGCAACCUGGAGGACCACAUAGGAAAGUUUACCUUCAAAGUGCACUUUCUAAGAAUGGAAUGUUCUUGACAGGGAAAUGAUCAGAGGCAAUCCUGGCCUUUUUUGCUGGUUGAAUAGGAAAAAUGUUUUCAUCUUCAGGCAGCACUUCACCCUGACAAAUGUGAGUUCAGUUAUUAUUGAGUUUUAGUAUUAAAGAAGAUUCUUUAGAAACAAACAUGAUAGCACACACAUACACUCAGAUAUUUACAGCCUUUCUAGAAAAACAACCCCCUACCUUAGUACUGACUACCUUUUUCCUUUUUUUUUCUCUUUUUUUUUAGUAUUUAAAUUCUUUAAACCAGCUACAUUAAAUACCAA
Molecule: long non-coding RNA, 4754 nt
Organism: Columba livia (rock pigeon)
Lineage: Eukaryota; Metazoa; Chordata; Aves; Columbiformes; Columbidae
Exons: 4
Source: RefSeq, a predicted model, not a curated record